CUACACUGCAGGCCUGCGCCCACAUACACGCCCGUGAAGAGGAGGAAGAGGACGAGGAAGAGGAGGAUGAAGAUGUUCAAAUGACAAGACGAGCUGCAAGCUGUCAUUUUCGUCACAGCUAUUUGCUGAAUGUAGCAUCUUCACACACACGCACACGCACGCACACAGCCACAAGAUAUUUCAAUAUUGAUUAUUGAAUAGUUUUCAACACACACCGGAGGCUUGACUUGUUCUCGGCGCGCAAGCCAGGCCUGCGCCAGUGUCAACGUGUCAUCAUCCACUCGCUCUCCCCACAGAUUUCCACGCAGGGGAAGGAAGAGCUUUGCGGUUGUUCUGGUCACCCAAAGUUGGAUUUCCUUCAGCCGGAUUUCUUCGUUGUUUUUUUUUCUGGAGGAAAGCAGGAGUUUGCCGACAAACAAACGGAUGCAAUUAAAUUCACUGCCAUCAUCACAGAGGAGGCAAGGGGGGAGAAGGAUGCACAUGCACAAGUCAAGGUUGGCUGAAGGAGAAAAGGUCAACUCACAAAGACGCCAAAGUCAACUCAAAGUUCAGCCUUACUCUAAGCGAGGUGUGUAUUACACUGCGAAAGGCCAACGGUUACCUAGUGAAUUUAGUUUAUUUCCAGUGAAAACAUCUUCUUAUUUUAAGACAAUGUUGAUGUUUUUCUAAAUUUUUGGAAAGACAAAAAGACAUGUUAUGAUUCAAGAUCUUAUUUUAAGAAUCUUAUCAAGGCAAUUCAUAUAAGUUCAAUUGGCAGAUCUUUUCCCCACUUAUUUUAGAGACAAAACGGCUUGUUUUUAAUAUUGUUUUACUCGUUUUGAGAAAGUCAUUUUUUCCACUGUAUGGAUGAACCAAUAAAUUUUUUUCAGACCAAGUACGAGUAUAAGUACCUACAUUUGAGUACUAGCCAAUACCAAGUACUGUACUAUGCCAUCAUGUCUUGAAAAUGUGUUUUAUUUUAAUAAAAUAUUGUUCAAAACACCAAUUUUUAUUCAACAUGGUUUAAAUUCCCCUCAAAUACUUUCUUAAUUAUCAGAGGUGGGACCAAGUCAAUGCUUUGCAAGUCACAAGUAAGUCUCAAGUCUUUGCCCUCAAUUCCCGAGUCAAGUCGCGAGUCAAAACAAGCAGGUCCCGAGUCAAGUCGCAAGUCCCACACUUUGAGUUUUGAGUCCUUUCGAGUUAUUUUACCAACAAAAUAAAAUAUGUUUUAAUAUAUAAAAUAUGUACAUUUAAUGUGUAUAUUAUAUACUGAAUUCAUAUAUGUAUUAUAUUUUAAAAUCCAUAAGUAUUUAUCAAAACAAAUUUGAUAAACAAGUGCAUUGAACCUUAAUAAGAAAACUAGGGGGCUGAUCAAAAGUUUAUUGCCCCUUCAAAACCGAUUGAUAGUAUGUUUUCAGUUAUUCAAUUGUAAUUUUCUCACUUUAUUUCUGAAGCGACAUUAAACAGACCUGUCACAAAUGCAAAUUUGCAUCCAGUAGUGCUGCAAUUAGUAAUCGAGUAUUCUCGUGACAUUUCUAUCGGAAUAAUCAAGUUUAAGGAUAAAAUAUAUUUUUCUUUCUUGGUGAAAGAGCAAUUACGAAUACGCAAAAGAAAAUGAAACAUUUCACUUAAUAAUGAACGACCAAUUGGUUUCCUCUUUUAGAUAAUCAACAGUAUUUUUCUUAAAUUCACAUUCACAUCUUCAAACACAAAUAUAGAUUGAUUACAGUUUAAAUUCGGCAUUUCUUAUGAGUAUCAAACACAAAGCAUUCAUUGAACAAAAAGAUGAACACAAGUUUGUCAUCUUGUUAUAAAGGUACAAUUUUAUCCAACUGUGGUAUCUCAGUCGGAACACUAGGGGACACUACGUAAAAAUAUUACGUCCAAAAGAGGCAAAGAAAAGGGCACGAAGAAGAAUGUAGUUUCAUAUUGAAUAGAUGCUAGCUGUGUGCUGAUCGAUUGGUAAAUAACGUGAAUAAUUAAAAAAAAAUAGUACAAGAGCGAUUCUUGAGAACACUACACUGACUAAACCAGACUGUAAUGUACAGGAAGCCCAGACAGCGCACAGCCCGCCAUGUAACUAUUUGUGUGAUCGCUCACAAAGCUAGCUGCUAAUGCUAACGAAAACAAGCAUACGUGACGUCAUGCUGUAAGAUUCCCACAAUGCAAUGUGUAUUUUUCUUUUGUUUGCAAUAAUUUACCUCCUUAUUGUUACAUUAAAUGUCGUUGUCGUUUCUGUAUACUAUGUUAACAGUGGUUCUUGGAACCUUUUUUAGCUGUCACAUUUAUUGUUGACUUAUGUUUUACUGUUUUUUGUUGUCAAUGAUGCUGUAGUGGUACACUUGCCGGACUUUGGUGCGGGCAGUGUGGGUUCAGUUCCUACUCAGUGACGGUGUGAAUGGUUGUCUGUCUCUAUAUGUGCCCUGCGACUGACUGGCGACCAGUUCAAGGGUGUAGUAUGCCUUUCGCCCAAAGUCAGCUGUGAUAGGCUCCUGUGACCCUGAACAGGAUAAGCGGUGUUUAGA
Molecule: long non-coding RNA, 2504 nt
Organism: Phycodurus eques (leafy seadragon)
Lineage: Eukaryota; Metazoa; Chordata; Actinopteri; Syngnathiformes; Syngnathidae
Exons: 3
Source: RefSeq, a predicted model, not a curated record